RNAcentral lists this long non-coding RNA (693 nucleotides) under Homo sapiens (human). RNAcentral's name for it is "HSALNT0308885". Lineage: Eukaryota; Metazoa; Chordata; Mammalia; Primates; Hominidae. The record is from RNAcentral.
AGGCCCUUCCUGUUGAGUUGUCAUCUGAACAAAUCAGAGUGGUGGUUGAGGACACCAGAUGUAUUAUUUCCUGCCACAGCAAAUUGGAGGGCUCGCACUGUUCCACCGCCAUCAACUUAGGAAGCAAUUGAAUUUGUUGAUUAUCUUUGCAAGAGGGAGAAGCUUAGCAUCAAUGAAGACAUUGGUAUUUGAAUGUCAUCAAAUUGGAAUCAUACAGAUUUCAGAUUGGCUUCUUUCACUAAGCAAUAUGCAUGAUAGAGGACUUCAUCAACAAGGUUCUUUCAUCUUCCUUAGUUGUUUGGAUCCUUAAGCCUGCCUUGAAAGAAGAGGGAGAAGGCUUCAGGGGAAAUGCUCCCCGCGCUGACCCACAGGAUGGCUUCCUUCAACAAAUGCAGCCACCUUUGAUUGGCUGCCUGCUACAAGAGAAACAUCAGGAGGUACGUAUUGCCAUGGGGGGAACUGAAGAUGGAGGACCCCUCAUUUGUGGAAUUGGGAACGGGCUUUGGGUCACAUGAGGCUCAUCCCUGAUGAGCUAGAACGUGGAAGUUACCUGAAUCCAGAAACCGAUAUUAGGCUCUGUAAUGGACAUGCAGAGGAAGAAGGACCUGUUGCCACGUCUACAGAGGGGUCAGGAAAGACACACUUGGAAUGACCCUAAGAAACCAUGGGCAAGUCUCCAUUUUUUUCCCUCAG